This 310-nucleotide ribosomal RNA is filed under the name Leptocentrus sp. CPL-2004. Its description in RNAcentral is "partial 12S small subunit ribosomal RNA". The record is from RNAcentral. Lineage: Eukaryota; Metazoa; Arthropoda; Insecta; Hemiptera; Membracidae.
CUAGAAUAAAGUAGUUAUAUUCUUCAUAACUCAAAGAAUUUGGCGGCUAAUUUUAAUCAGAGGAACCUGUAUAUUAAUUGAUAAACCACGAUAGUUUAUACCUUUUAUUUAUUUAUAUAUCUCUAUGUUAUGAAUGUUUUAUAAGAAUUAAUUUUCUUUUAGAUUUAUCAUUAAUUUUAGGUCAAGGUGUAGUUUUUAAAAGUGUUUAUAUGGGUUACUUUAGUUUAAAUUUAAAUUUUUUGUAAGAAAUAUUUUUUUAUAAUUUUUAGGAUUUGAUAGUAAUUUUAAUUAAUUAAUUAAUGUGAAAUUA